CUACGUAGGUCCCGAACGUUGCGCGAAAUUACUGGGCGUAAAGGGUCCGUAGGCGGUCUGGUAAGUGGAAGGUGAAAGCCUGGGGCCCAACUCCAGAAUUGCCUUCCAAACUGCCGGACUUGAGGCAGGGAGAGGUCGGCGGAAUUCCCGGUGUAGUGGUGAAAUGCGUAGAUAUCGGGAGGAACACCAGUGGCGAAGGCGGCCGACUGGAACUGUCCUGACGCUGAGGGACGAAAGCCAGGGGAGCGAACCGGAUUAGAAACCCUAGUAGUCC
This 274-nucleotide ribosomal RNA is filed under the name uncultured bacterium. RNAcentral describes it as "partial 16S ribosomal RNA". It matches the Rfam family "Bacterial small subunit ribosomal RNA", at positions 523 to 796 of the family's 1533-position model. The record is from RNAcentral.